This 500-nucleotide ribosomal RNA is filed under the name uncultured Glomeromycotina. RNAcentral describes it as "partial small subunit ribosomal RNA". It matches the Rfam family "Eukaryotic small subunit ribosomal RNA", at positions 591 to 1092 of the family's 1831-position model. Lineage: Eukaryota; Fungi; Glomeromycota. The record is from RNAcentral.
CCAAUAGCGUAUAUUAAAGUUGUUGCAGUUAAAAAGCUCGUAGUUGAAUUUCGGGGUUAGUAGGUUGGUCAUGCCUCUGGUAUGUACUGGUCUCACUGAUUCCUCCUUCCUGAUGAGCCGUAAUGCCAUUAAUUUGGUGUUGCGGGGAAUUUGGACUGUUACUUUGAAAAAAUUAGAGUGUUUAAAGCAAGCUAACGCUUGAAUACGUUAGCAUGGAAUAAUGAAAUAGGACGUUCGAUCCUAUUUUGUUGGUUUCUAGGAUUGACGUAAUGAUUAAUAGAGAUAGUUGGGGGCAUUAGUAUUCAAUUGUCAGAGGUGAAAUUCUUGGAUUUAUUGAAGACUAACUACUGCGAAAGCAUUUGCCAAGUAUGUUUUCAUUAAUCAAGAACGAAAGUUAGGGGAUCGAAGACGAUCAGAUACCGUCGUAGUCUUAACCAUAAACUAUGCCGACUAGGGAUCGGAUGAUGUUAAUUUUUUAAUGACUCAUUCGGCGCCUUACG